AAAGAGUUCUAUAACUCCCAAACCCAUGUGAACAUACCUAACGUUGCCUCGGCAGGUCGCACCUACCUUGUAGCACCCUACCCUGUAGGGCCUACCCGGGAGGUGCGGGUAAGCCUGCCGGCGGCCCACCAAACUCUGUUUGAUAUUGAAUUCUGAACCUAUAACUAAAUAAGUUAAAACUUUCAACAACGGAUCUCUUGGUUCUGGCAUCGAUGAAGAACGCAGCGAAAUGCGAUAAGUAAUGUGAAUUGCAGAAUUCAGUGAAUCAUCGAAUCUUUGAACGCAUAUUGCGCCCAUUAGUAUUCUAGUGGGCAGGACCGUUCGAGCGUCAUUUCAACCCUUAAGCCUUCGUUGCUUAGUGUUGGGAGCCUACGGCAACGUAGCUCCUCAAAGUUAGUGGCGGAGUUGGUUCACACUCUAGACGUAGUAAUUUUUUAUCUCGCCUAUUAGUUGGACUAAUCCCCUGCCGUAAAACCCCUAAUUUAUCAAGGUUGACCUCGAAUCGGUUCAGACAAAC
Molecule: ribosomal RNA, 517 nt
Filed under: fungal endophyte
Lineage: Eukaryota; Fungi
Description: eukaryotic LSU rRNA
Rfam family: 5.8S ribosomal RNA (bases 178-331)
Source: RNAcentral